UCCCUGGUGGCUCAGAUGGUAAAGCGUCUGCCUACAAUGCAGGAGACCCAGGUUUGAUCCCUGGGUCGGGAA
This 72-nucleotide transfer RNA is filed under the name Bos indicus (zebu cattle). It matches the Rfam family "tRNA". Rfam says of the family: Transfer RNA (tRNA) molecules are approximately 80 nucleotides in length. Their secondary structure includes four short double-helical elements and three loops (D, anti-codon, and T loops). The record is from Rfam by way of RNAcentral. Lineage: Eukaryota; Metazoa; Chordata; Mammalia; Artiodactyla; Bovidae. RNAcentral also lists the same sequence under 2 other names.